Molecule: ribosomal RNA, 799 nt
Filed under: uncultured Glomus
Lineage: Eukaryota; Fungi; Glomeromycota; Glomeromycetes; Glomerales; Glomeraceae
Description: SSU rRNA
Rfam family: Eukaryotic small subunit ribosomal RNA
Source: RNAcentral
AUCAACUUUCGAUGGUAGGAUAGAGGCCUACCAUGGUGGUAACGGGUAACGGGGUGUUAGGGCACGACACCGGAGAGGGAGCCUGAGAAACGGCUACCACAUCCAAGGAUGGCAGCAGGCGCGCAAAUUACCCAAUCCCGGCACGGGGAGGUAGUGACAAUAAAUAACAAUACGGGGUUCUUUCGGAUCUCGUAAUUGGAAUGAGUACAAUUUAAAUCUCUUAACGAGGAACAAUUGGAGGGCAAGUCUGGUGCCAGCAGCCGCGGUAAUUCCAGCUCCAAUAGCGUAUAUUAAAGUUGUUGCAGUUAAAAAGCUCGUAGUUGAAUUUCGGGGUUAGUAGGCUGGUCAUGCCACCGGUAUGUACUGGUCUUACUGAUUCCUCCUUCCUGAUGAACUGUAAUGCCAUUAAUUUGGUGUUGCAGGGAAUCUGGACUGUUACUUUGAAAAAAUUAGAGUGUUUAAAGCAGGCUAACGCUUGAAUACAUUAGCAUGGAAUAAUGAAAUAGGACGUUCGAUCCUAUUUUGUUGGUUUCUAGGAUUGACGUAAUGAUUAAUAGGGAUAGUUGGGGGCAUUAGUAUUCAAUUGUCAGAGGUGAAAUUCUUGGAUUUAUUGAAGACUAACUACUGCGAAAGCAUUUGCCAAGGAUGUUUUCAUUAAUCAAGAACGAAAGUUAGGGGAUCGAAGACGAUCAGAUACCGUCGUAGUCUUAACCAUAAACUAUGCCGACUAGGGAUCGGAUGAUGUUAAUUUUUUAAUGACUCAUUCNGCGUCUUACGGGAAACCAAAGUGUUUGGGUUC